Molecule: ribosomal RNA, 470 nt
Filed under: uncultured bacterium
Lineage: Bacteria
Description: bacterial SSU rRNA
Rfam family: Bacterial small subunit ribosomal RNA
Source: RNAcentral
ACUCCUACGGGAGGCAGCAGUGAGGAAUAUUGGUCAAUGGGUGCAAGCCUGAACCAGCCAUCCCGCGUGAAGGAUUAAGGUCCUAUGGAUUGUAAACUUCUUUUGUAUAGGGAUAAACCUACCCUCGUGAGGGUAGCUGAAGGUACUAUACGAAUAAGCACCGGCUAACUCCGUGCCAGCAGCCGCGGUAAUACGGAGGGUGCAAGCGUUAUCCGGUAUUUAUUGGGUUUAAAGGGUCCGUAGGCGGACUUAUAAGUCAGUGGUGAAAUCCUGUCGCUUAACGAUAGAACUGCCAUUGAUACUGUAAGUCUUGAGUAUAUUUGAGGUAGCUGGAAUAAGUAGUGUAGCGGUGAAAUGCAUAGAUAUUACUUAGAACACCAAUUGCGAAGGCAGGUUACCAAGAUAUAACUGACGCUGAGGGACGAAAGCGUGGGUAGCGAACAGGAUUAGAUACCCGUGGUAGGAUAGCG